This 623-nucleotide long non-coding RNA is filed under the name Pan troglodytes (chimpanzee). RNAcentral describes it as "lincRNA". Lineage: Eukaryota; Metazoa; Chordata; Mammalia; Primates; Hominidae. The record is from RNAcentral.
UAGAGUCAUAACCAUUCUUAAUAAUUUGAUGGGUAUUCAUUUCUUCCCUAAAUUUAUAUGUCUAGAACUAGAGCUAGAGUGUAUGCCUACAUACACACACACACACACACACACACCCAUACAUAUAUAUUCAAACAUAAUAUAUGUAUAUCCACAUGUAUUCAAACACAGAAUUAUGUUUAGAUAAUUAUGGUUAUAUGCUGGUAUGCCAGAGCCAGACUGCCUGGCUUCGGUUCCAGGCCCUAGUUGGAUAGCUUUGGGCUACUCAGCCUCUCUAUGCCUGGACUUCUUCAUCUUUGAAACGGGAUAAUAAUAAUACUUAUCCCAUAAAGUUCUUGUGAGAAUUAAAUGAAAUAAUAUAUGAAAAGCCCUUAGAACAGGCAUUGGCACAUUGUGAAGGUAAUGUAUUAGCUAUUUUGAUGAUUAUGCAUUUUGUCUGCAACUUUUUAUUUAACAUAUGAGGGAAAGUAGACAAACAUAGCCAUUUUCAAUGAUUCCAUAAUAUGCCAUAGCACGAGUAUACCAUUGUUUAUCCAACCAUUUCUCUCUUGAGAAACAUUGCAGAUUUUUUUGCAGUUUCUACGAUUACAAAUAAUGCUGCAAUAAACAUCUUUCUACAUAUA